RNAcentral lists this ribosomal RNA (623 nucleotides) under Dyella sp. RNAcentral's name for it is "bacterial SSU rRNA". It matches the Rfam family "Bacterial small subunit ribosomal RNA", at positions 131 to 749 of the family's 1533-position model. Lineage: Bacteria; Pseudomonadati; Pseudomonadota; Gammaproteobacteria; Lysobacterales; Rhodanobacteraceae. The record is from RNAcentral.
CAAACGUGGGGGAUAACGUAGGGAAACUUACGCUAAUACCGCAUACGUCCUACGGGAGAAAGCGGGGGACCGAAAGGCCUCGCGCGGUUGGACGAACCGAUGUGCGAUUAGCUAGUUGGUAGGGUAAUGGCCUACCAAGGCGACGAUCGCUAGCUGGUCUGAGAGGAUGAUCAGCCACACUGGAACUGAGACACGGUCCAGACUCCUACGGGAGGCAGCAGUGGGGAAUAUUGGACAAUGGGCGCAAGCCUGAUCCAGCAAUGCCGCGUGUGUGAAGAAGGCCUUCGGGUUGUAAAGCACUUUUAUCAGGAGCGAAAUACUACUGGCUAAUAACCGGUGGGGCUGACGGUACCUGAGGAAUAAGCACCGGCUAACUUCGUGCCAGCAGCCGCGGUAAUACGAAGGGUGCAAGCGUUAAUCGGAAUUACUGGGCGUAAAGCGUGCGUAGGCGGUUAUUUAAGUCUGUUGUGAAAUCCCCGGGCUCAACCUGGGAAUGGCAAUGGAUACUGGAUAGCUAGAGUGUGAUAGAGGAUGGUGGAAUUCCCGGUGUAGCGGUGAAAUGCGUAGAGAUCGGGAGGAACAUCAGUGGCGAAGGCGGCCAUCUGGAUCAACACUGACGCUGA